CGGACGGGUGAGUAAUGUCUGGGAAACUGCCUGAUGGAGGGGGAUAACUACUGGAAACGGUAGCUAAUACCGCAUAACGUCGCAAGACCAAAGAGGGGGACCUUCGGGCCUCUCGCCAUCGGAUGUGCCCAGAUGGGAUUAGCUAGUAGGUGGGGUAACGGCUCACCUAGGCGACGAUCCCUAGCUGGUCUGAGAGGAUGACCAGCCACACUGGAACUGAGACACGGUCCAG
RNAcentral lists this ribosomal RNA (232 nucleotides) under uncultured bacterium. RNAcentral describes it as "partial 16S ribosomal RNA". It matches the Rfam family "Bacterial small subunit ribosomal RNA", at positions 99 to 334 of the family's 1533-position model. The record is from RNAcentral.